RNA transcript from Parus major (Great Tit), 9478 nucleotides. It is a transcript of the gene named TSC22 domain family member 2, with no coding region annotated. The transcript has 6 exons. NCBI's taxonomy places the organism in Eukaryota, Metazoa, Chordata, Aves, Passeriformes, Paridae. The record is from RefSeq and is a predicted model, not a curated record.
UAAAAAAGAGGCGUAUUUUUCGGGGGGAAAAAUGUCAACUUUUAAGUUACUGCCAAGGUUUUUUUUGUAAAUUAAUAUUUUCAGAAAGUCAUGCUGAGGUUCGCCUGGACUAUAUUUUUAUUUUAAGAAUGCAAACCAUAGCAAAGUGUUUAGGCCAGUAGUGAAUUGUGCUUGUUUUCUGCAGGGUGUGAGUGCAACUACCUUUCUCACAAAAUGGGGUACAAAGUAUCCUGAAAGCUGUUCAAUGCAAAAAUAUGACCUCUUCAAAAUCAAGGGCUGAAAGCUGUCUUUCUGUAGCCAGUGGCUCAAGAUGUGAGAAGGGCUGCUCUCUCCUUUUUCCGGAAUGCAUUAUAAAACACUUCAGUGACAGCAGGGUUAAAAUGACACUGUAUUGUAGUGUUAAAUCUGUGUGAUGCUAUCUCAGGGCUUUUAACAGAGUUUCUUGAUUUCUAUCCUGCUGUGGAGUUAACACUUUAUAGUGUCAGUUAGUAAGGAGACACUUGCACUUGGAUGUGGAUUUAUGUGCAAAUCCAUAUGCGGGGAAAGCUCUGCAGAGAAUGAUCCUUUGUAUUGAGAAAACAGACACGGUGGGAAGUGUCCUUCCCACCCUUACAGUGAGGUGUUUUUUUUUUAAUUGCGAAGUAAUUUGGAACUAUGAGUUGUAACAGAGGGGUGUGGUGUGAGCAGACUCCUAAGAGGGCCUGAGAGAGGGUGUGUGGCUGCUGUUCCCAUAGACACAUCAGACUGCUCUGAAGGCCAAAACCAUUUGAUUGAUUUCUUUGAGGGAAAGGAGACUCAAGCAGUGUUUAAGCACUGAAUUUAAGUCCAAACAUUUACUGUCAGGAUUACUGCAGUUUGUAGGAAGGGAAUGCAUGUGUGUUAUUUAUUUUUAAAAACAGGCAUUAGACCAUUAUGAGCAGGUCUUGUGGUGAAUUUCUCUGCAAGUCUUCCUCACCUUGGGACAGCACCAGACAUUAAGAUAAUGUAGUCAGUGUUGCUUUGAGGAUGUUUUAGUGAAGCAGCUGUGUCUGUGGGGUUGGGGUGCAGUGGAUGGAGAGAGCACCUCAAAGUGGAUGUUUGGAGAGUUCAGACUGCAGGUUUAAUGCUGGCCUGUGCUGACACUGUGUCUAAGAAAGUAACUGCUGUGCUUUUCUGCAAGGAGAAGCUGUUGUUUGGAAACCUGUGCUGGUUCUGAUUAAAUUGGUAAAGGACUGACAAGAAAAAGUUUAAAAUUUACUUGCAGUUUGCCUACCUUAAGAGAAUUGCUAACCUGGCUGACAAACUGCCUUGUGCAAAUAAGGUUAGAUUUCAAGCUGGUGGGUUCUCUUCAUAGCUCAGUGUUUUUUGAGAUGUUUUGUCUGGUAAUCAGUCUGUUGAUUCAGGAAUCAGAAAGAAAGGAAUGCAUUUUGCAUUUGUUUUCCAUAGCUUCUAAUACUUAAUAUAAAUUGUGGUAAUGAACAUGAGUAUCAGUGACAAGUGAAUCACUUCUGUGUAAAGAUAGAGAAAAACAUCUAACUUUGUGUGGCACUCCAGUGAGUCACCUCUUGGUGCUCCUACCAGAACAGUGAUUUUUAAAGCUAGUUUUCUAGUUUAGUCAUUGAACUUGCCACCUUGCCACGGUGCUUUACAUGGUGUUCAUUUCUAAAGAGACUCUUUGACACUUUGCCAGGAGAACUGUGAGUAAGAAGAGGAAAUGGGGUCUGGAUGCAGCGUGCUCCUUUUGACAGGCCAUGCUGUAGUGUUCAGUAGAGAGACGAAUGUCUGGUUAUCAGUGCAGGAGUGCCUGUGUGUCGUUCCUCAGUUCUGCACUGGGUGAUAAAACUGAGCCGUGUGCUGGGCUGUCGGAAAGCCAGGAGCACAUGUGUGCUGUGGGAGCCUUUCCCAGCUGGGAAGGUGUUCCUGGUAAGCUCUGAAAGCUCACCUUAAAUGGACCUAGACCUCAUAUAUAACAUAGGAUACAGAGACAGUCGAUCAAAGUUUAUUCUUUGCUCCCCUCAAGCAGUAGCGUGACUUCCACUGGCUUCAGAGAAAGGAAUCCGUCAACUGCAUUCUACCAAGCGUUCCAUUUCAACAAGUUACACGAGUCAAAGACCAGCUGGGAUAGAACUGCUGCCUGUGUUCAGAACUCCAUAUUGGGCUUCUGCAGUUUGAAGAGGUGAAAGUGGUCAUGGAAGUAUUUGUUCUGAAACAUGGAACUAAACUCUAAAAUAUGACAUGACUUUUUCUCUUCCUCCUUCCAUUAUGCAUGUAUCAUACAUGAUGCAUAAGUUCAGAGUUUAAUGCUAGUCAACCUUCACCAAAAUAUUUACAGCUUCCUUGUCCAAAAGAGGAGACUUUUUGGCAUUGAGCCCUGUAUCAGAAAACACAUUGUGAAAAUACUACAUUUAAACACAAUUUUGGCAAACUAAACUGGGAAAAGAAGCUUUCUCGCUUACUUUCAUUCUGCUUGAGUGAAGCUGGAUGGGGAACGUGAACUGUGACAAGGACAAAGUAAAUCUCCAAAGUUAGCAUUGAACUCAUGGUGAGAAACUGCAGUGAAGUGCAGCAGUCUUACCUGGCAUGGAUAGGACUUGAGAGAGGUGCAUUACUAAUUCAUCAGUAGCUGCAAACUGUUCCUUUCCUGUGCUUUAGUGAUUUUGAGGGAUUUUUUUAUUUUUUUUUUCCAGCAUUAAGUCAAAGUCCUAGUGAUGUGAUUUAAUGCCUUUAAUGUGCUGCUCUGGCUUGUCAAAACUUCUGCUUAACAAGCUGUGUAGAAUGUAAAUUUUGUUUGGCUGUUGAAGUAUUGAUAACCAUUUCAUCACUGUCUUGGCUGUAUUUGACUUGAAAGGCUUCUCAACUUGCACACUUCAACUGAAUCCUUUAAAGUUUGCUUGGCAACAGUUUGUAUACUGCAGAGUGAUGGUUAUAAGUAAUGCUAAGUGUCCUGCAGGUUUUUUAAAAAUUACUUUGUAUUGCUGGGGUGCUGGCAUUAAACGCAGUUUCAGAGCACGUCUUCCUUUUUCAGCAGAAAGUCAGACAAAUUCAUGUUACUGCUUUAAGCUCUGGAUGAUGCUACUUCCCUGUAUUUAUGGAACAGAGCUGGUAUUUAGGUUUCAAGGACUUUGUUAUUUCACUGGAACAAACUUCAGAGCUUAGAAUACACAUUUGGUUUGUAGACCAAAAGGUCACUUUGUGGUCUAGCCUUUAGCUGUUUCUCUACUUUCAUGUUGCAAAAUAAGUCUUAAGAUGAGGAAGCUAAUUCAAAAAAAUCCUAAAAUCAAAUAAUAAAUUAUUAAGAUGGAGGCUUUACAAAUCUGAGAUUUAUGUACAUUGCCUGAAGCAAAUGCUGGAAAUAUGGGAUAUAGAAGAGCAUUAAAUUCAGGUAGAAGAAUGUAAACAGUUGCCUUUAAAAUAACCUUGCACCUUUGCUGGUGAACUUUUUGUGGUAAAAACAAACGUUUGUGAGAACACAGAAUGAAAUUCACCAGGAUUGAUACAUGUUUUAAGCUUAUAAUCCAUUCAAAUUCCAAAGUCUUUGACAGCAUUUUGCAGGUUUUGCAUUUAUACCCCAGUUACUGGGAUUUUAAAGUCACAUUAGGCAGCUUUCUUUCACUGGAUGACUGAAACGGAGAAGCUUUCAGCUAUAAACUUAUAGUUUAUAAGUUUAUAAACUUAUGUUUUUUUAAACUAUAAGCAGUGAAAGCUAGUGGAGGGAGCCAGGGGCAUCAAUGAGCAGCACAGCUGGUUGUGGGAGCAGGACACAGCAGGGCUGGAACAGGAACGUGGUGUGGGGCUGCUUCUUGUCAGCUCUGGUUUGGGAAGGAAAAUUCGCUGCUGUGGAAACAAAAAGCUCGUGUGACUUCCUCAGAAUCCCUUUGUUUGCCCAUCACAAAAUGUGGGGGUUGACACACUGCAGAGCACCAGGACCGUGAGUCUGCUGGCAGUGAACUCUUAAUUACAUUUUGCAGCUCUUUCAGAAGUACUUUGUGAACCUGAGGGGCUUGACUUGGGAGACUUUGUAAACAGAAAAUCUUUCUGUGUAAUUCUAGUAUAUUUUUCUAACAAAUACGGAUUAUUCCCCUAUGAGUAGCUGUCACUGGGGACCUGCUGAGGUCAGCAGAGCUAGCUGCAUGAUACUGCAAGAGGGAACAAGAGAUUGCUGAAUUGCUCCAGUGAAUAGAAACUAUUUUAUUUUUCACCAUCAUGCUGUGGCAGGAAGAGUGCUGGUGACACUCAAACCAGUAAGUGUUAGGGAGAUACUAGUUGUUACUGACACAUUAGCAGGGAUGUUUUCUUGCACAGUGCUCACCCAGGUGCUGCUGAAGACACAAGUCUCAUGUGUUGGGUCUUGUCAACUGAUGUGGUUUAAGGAAGGGGAGCACUGGUUUCUUGGCAUAUUCACAUGAGUCUGGGUGGUUGCUCUUUUGGGCCUGGGUUGUCUUUGCACAGUAAAGGUGCCAUACCAGCUUUAUCUGGGUCUGCCUAAAGCACAGACAUUAUUGGUAGACUUGAAUUAAAGUAGUAGGAUUUAUGUUUCCAUUGCAUUUAUGUAUGAAGUAUUAAACCUUCACAAUAUGAAUUAACUUAUAAGAUGUGUGUGGGAACUCGUGAGGUGGUGAAUUCACUGCCUCAGGUUGUCACACAUUCUCACAUGCCUUUGACAAAGAAAAAUAAUGCAAGUUUGUAAUACUCACACAGAUCCUCUUUCCAGGCUGGGUAGGUGAUUAGAUUGCAUUGGGAUGCUAUCAUUAUGAAAUAUCUUUAUGGGAUAGAGGCUAAUUAAAUAGGCCUUAACUCUUUCAAGAAUAGAAAAUAUUUCUCUGGAUAAACUGAAUAACUUAACCAUUGGUAAGGCAGUAGCUCAUAAAUGAGGAAACAAUGAGGGGAAAGAAUAAAUGACCACAGGACUUCUGUUCACUUGUAACCAAGUAGAAGCACUCCAGCGUACCUUACUGGUGUUUACAGAAAAGUUAUUUGAUCAUUUGAUUCAAAGCAGUAACAGCAAAAGGGAGAGAAGAGCUGGGGGUGGUCACUUGACUUGGGAUUGUGUCAGACUUUUGGUAGUGCCUUUCCCACUCACAGUGACUUAAAGGGAAGCACUUGUGGUUUCCAGGAGGAUUUGUCUUGCAGAAGCUGUUGGACAGAGCAUUGGUGUCCCAUGUCCUCUGCCCUGUAGGAUCAGCUGUGAGAUGAGAUACAUUUUAUGCAUCUAAAAAGCAAGAAAAUUUCUGCCUUCUGGGAGUCUUUUGGGGAGUAACUUGGUGUCAAGAAAUUCCUUAGAAUAAUAGUAUACAGAUAAUCAUUAAUAGAGCUGAACACAGAAUGUUUUUUGUUACUGAUUAAAAAACUUCAGAAUUAGCUUACAUCAUGCUGUCAGUAGGAUUUCAAUCUCAUUUCAGUGUGAAACACUAUUACCUAGUUUAGUGCUUGAGUGUGCCAAAGUAGGCUCUGUGUAACUCAUUCCUAAUAUAUCCAGCAUUGGUGUAAAAUACACAUGUUACUGAGGUCUGUGAAAUGAACCACUGUGCUUUUUUUAAGCAUACAGAAUGAAUUAAGCUGCAAAUACCUUUGAAGUUGGAUUCUUAGUCUUUUUUUACCUAGGUUUUGAGGUGAAUUUGGAAGGUGAGUGUAUGUUUCUUGGGAGGAUGAUAGUUGUAUCUAAUGGCAUUAAUGGUGAAAACAGCACACUGACUGCCAUAGCGCUUGUUGAAUUACUAAUAGAAAUGAAUCUUGGUGCCCAUGGAUAUGAGGUGGUAUUGGAGGCUGUGGCCAUUAGCAAGUUAACAUUAAGACAUUAACCUUUUUUUUGUAUGAGAAGCAGAAAAGACCUUGGUGUUGUGCAAGCCAAGUGCUUCUCAGCAAUAAUAAACACCAUUUUCAGUGCAAAUCCAAAGCAGAGCCCCAUACCAUCUACAGUGGAGAAAAUGAACUCUACUCCAGCCCAAAGCAGCACAUUUUCUUUAUUCCAUAGUGUUUACCUCAUGCUCAGGUCGCACGCUCUCCAGUACAGCCUCCUUAACCACCACCCCUUCCCAUCCUUUGCUCUUUUAAUGGGUGCUGUUCCUGUAGUCUGUGCACCAGGCCUGCAGCUUGUCCACAGAUGUCCACUGAGAUAAUUUAGUCUGUGAUUUUGGGCUCCAUCUCUCAUGGUGGUCACUCAGGACAGGAGAGGUGUGUGUUGUGUGGAGCUCUUGGACACGGAAGCUGAGUUAGGCUGGCUCCUGCAGCCUGCCUUGCUGUGCUCUUCACUACACACUGCCAGGCAGUCUCACACUCUCCCCUGCUCUAGCACAGCACCCACAGAGACAGUCCUCCUUGAACUUCUCCAGUUUGGGUCCUUCCCCUGGGCUGCAGCUCUUCAUGAGCUGCUGCACCAUUGGGUCCUUUCCACAGGGUCAGUCCUUGAGGAACAGGUUGCUUCAGAUACUUCCAACACCUGCUCCAGUGUGCCAGAGGUUCUGCCAGGAGCCUGUCCCAACACAGACUUCCCAGGGCACCAUGGCCUCUUUCAGGCACCCACCUGCUGUGGGGCUGGGGCUCUCCAUGCACUGCAGCUCAGUCUCUGCUGCCCCUUGACUCAUCCACAGGUCACAGUCCUGCAGCUCCAGCCUUCCCAGUGUGUCAGUGCUGCCAUGGGCACCUGCCAGCCCAGGCACAUGCUAGUGGCUGUUAUCAAGUGUUCCAGACACAGCAGUGAGGUGAUAAGAGCAGUGGGGCAGCAGUGAGAGCAAAAAGUGGCCACUAACAAGCAAUGGACUCAAGCAGACUCGAGCAAGCAAGCCCAUGGCAAGCGUGGGAGGUUCCAGGCAAUAACUGCACAGAAGGAACAGCUAUCCAUUCAAUCUAGAACAUCCCAGUCGAAUCUGUCCUUACUUCAAACCCUUCCAACCCCAUGUUGAGUGCUGUCUUGGUUUAAUCCUGCUGGCACUAAGCCCCAUGCAGCCACUCAUUCAGCUCCCCCUCCUUCCAGAAGAGGAAAAGUGAGAGAACUUGUCAGUUGAGAUAAAGAAAAUUUAAUAGGAAAAGCAAAAUCCACCACCAAAAUGAGUAUUUCUCUGACAAGAUGGGGUCUUGUCUACCUGGUGCUUAAGGAUUUGCAAGUUGAGGCAUUGGCUCUACAGUGGAUGGUGCACUCACAGAAUGUGUCACUCUCACUUCAUUUGGUCAUCCAAAAAGACUUUAUUUAGGACAUAUUUGGGGUUUCUUCCUGGCCUUUUCAUAAGGACUGGAUUGUAUUUAUAAAUGUCAUUCUGCCGCCAUGGGAUAAAAUAUUUUUAUGCAAACUGGAAUUUGAUAUCAAGAGUUUAGCAUUUGAGAAAAGUAUAAAAUUUUAAGAUUUGGCAGCACAUUUGGAGUUCCCCAUGAGAGCAGCUGUCACUGGAGGGCUCUGCUCAUGAAUGUCCCACAGGAGCUGCUGUUGGGAGCACUGUCAGAUUAAUAAAGAACAAAAACAUGUGGGAAUUCUGUAGCAUCUAAUUCUCAUCUUCCUUCAGAAAGUGAUAGGACAUACAGUCAGCUGAUUUUAUCGCGAUGACAAACUGGGCACCCUGUGUCGGUGUGGAGCUCCUGCAGGGUGUGGGGGGUGUGUGGUCCCAGCCUGUGCCUGCUGAAGCUGGGCUGGGGACAGGGAUCCAGGCUCUGUUUCUGUCUUGGCACAGCUGCUCUGCAGAUGGGGGCAGCAAGAGCCUUACAAAGGAGUGUAUGAAGCUGCUUAGAGCUUUCAGCAGUGUUGGUGUCGUGCUGAGUGUGGGGUCUGUGUGGUAAGGCAGUGCUUUUCCCAGCUCAUUCCAAUCCCUCUGCAGGGAGGGACAAUUCCUACACCCACCCAACAGGCAGAGGGGAGCUCACAGCAAAAGGUGUGCACAGGGAGGGCGCCUCUGCAGCUCUUUGGGAGGCUAAGGGAAGGCUGCCUGUCUUUCUUAUGGAACUGCUGGAAUGCCUUUACUUGGAGUGAUAUAGCAGGGUUCAUUUUUUAAAAUAAUCACACUACAAAAUAGCUGAAACAGGGAUAGAGCAAAGUUCCAAUCUCAAGUUUGACUAGACAGGUAUUGAUAAAAGUUCUACGAUUGUGCUGCAAAGAUGGGGAAGUAGAUCCCCCUGCCAUGGUUGGUGUUUGCUUUAAUUGUUUUAUUUAAUUCUCUUGCUGUUACCUCUUAGAGCUGCCUCAUCUGACCUGUAGGGUGGUGUCCAUAAAGGACUGUGAGAGGACAGGGAGUCUUGGGGAUUUUGUGGUUCAUGGACACAGAUACUUCUGACAGUGCCAGAUGACUCUGAUGCAUGUUAAUUCAACAUGGAAAGGAAUACUUCCCUUGGCAUGAGUUAUAAAGAGCUUUUAUUCUGAGGAGGUUUACCAUAGAUAGGGUUUGAAAGAGGCUUAGAAGACAAUAAGAGACUAGAACAGUUUUCUUCUGAAAUGUGUGUUCAGGGCUUUUGGUUUGGGUUUCAAGAUUGGUUCAGUAGAAAUAGAGGCUGUUAUUCCCUCAGUCUGCAAACCUGAUGCCCUCUGCUUGUAUAAGCCCAGUGCUGGUACUGACAGUUCUGUGGGAGCCCUUAAAAUUAACUUUUCUGACCAGUAUCACUCUUCAGGAGCUGAGCCAUGUUUCACAUCUGUGACUAGUACUACUGACCACAUUGCCAUACUCUUUGUAAAAAGCCUUGAGUGGUUUUUUUAUUAACACUUGUGUUUGGUGAGUUGCACAAUUCCAGAGAGGUGAGUUUUCCAGCAUGACUGCAACCCUUGCAUUUUCCCCAUGUUAACUCUACUGAACGUGGCUGCACACUGCUGAUAGCUGUGUCCAUGGCUGGGAGUUUUAUCAGCAGCUCUCACUGGUGGGGCUGUCACAGCCCAGGAGCUGCUGUGUGUGUCAGGGACCCCUGAGAGCCAGGGUGGGAGGGUAGUGUGGAGGGUGGGGAGGUGGCUGCCUGCAGGCUGCAGCUUUGCAUGCCCUGGGGAGAGCUGCAGCUCCUCUCUGAACAGAGAAACCAGAGUCUGGGGGAGAUCAGGGACACUCCUGGCCUGCUGAAAUCCAGCUCCAGAGCUGCGAGUGAGGAACUGGCUUGUGUGCCUGUGGUGGGACUUGGAACAGACCCUGGCUAUUGGGGGCUGCAUUUCCAUCCUGCAGCAUUCAGAGAUGCAGUUUGGGAGUGAAUACACAUCCUCACAGCGUGCUCUGAGGUGCACCAGUGUGUCUGUGGAACAAGCCUGGCCUUAGCUGUGACCCAGGGCCAUGUGUUUGUCAGCUGUCAGGAGGAUCCGGGGAGGAUUCACUGGGAGCCAGAGCGGCCACAGGCUCAGGGCUCUGGUUGUGUCUCACCCUCCUGCUGGCUGCUGCCACAGGAGCUCCUUGCCUGGAAGGUGGACUCAAGUGAAUCCAGAGAACAGUGCGUCUGGUGCAAGUGUUGUUGCCAUUGACAACAAAAUAGAGCAGGCAAUGGAUCUAGUGAAAAGCCAUUUGAUGUAUGCAGUGAGAGAAGAAGUGGAAGUCCUGAAGGAACAAAU